GACGAACGCUGGCGGCGUGCUUAACACAUGCAAGUCGAACGGAAAGGCCCUGCUUUUGUGGGGUGCUCGAGUGGCGAACGGGUGAGUAACACGUGAGUAACCUGCCCUUGACUUUGGGAUAACUUCAGGAAACUGGGGCUAAUACCGGAUAGGAGCUCCUGCUGCAUGGUGGGGGUUGGAAAGUUUCGGCGGUUGGGGAUGGACUCGCGGCUUAUCAGCUUGUUGGUGGGGUAGUGGCUUACCAAGGCUUUGACGGGUAGCCGGCCUGAGAGGGUGACCGGCCACAUUGGGACUGAGAUACGGCCCAGACUCCUACGGGAAGCAGCAGUGGGGAAUAUUGCACAAUGGGCGGAAGCCUGAUGCAGCAACGCCGCGUGCGGGAUGACGGCCUUCGGGUUGUAAACCGCUUUCGCCUGUGACGAAGCGUGAGUGACGGUAAUGGGUAAAGAAGCACCGGCUGACUACGUG
Molecule: ribosomal RNA, 468 nt
Filed under: uncultured bacterium
Lineage: Bacteria
Description: partial 16S ribosomal RNA
Rfam family: Bacterial small subunit ribosomal RNA
Source: RNAcentral